GACGAACGCUGGCGGCGUGCUUAACACAUGCAAGUCGAACGAAGAGCGAUGGAAGCUUGCUUCUAUCAAUCUUAGUGGCGAACGGGUGAGUAACGCGUAAUCAACCUGCCCUUCAGAGGGGGACAACAGUUGGAAACGACUGCUAAUACCGCAUACGAUCCAAUCUCGGCAUCGGGACUGGAUGAAAGGUGGCCUCUAUUUAUAAGCUAUCACUGAAGGAGGGGAUUGCGUCUGAUUAGCUAGUUGGAGGGGUAACGGCCCACCAAGGCGAUGAUCAGUAGGCGGUCUGAGAGGAUGGACGGCCACAUUGGGACUGAGACACGGCCCAGACUCCUACGGGAGGCAGCAGUGGGGAAUCUUCCGCAAUGGACGAAAGUCUGACGGAGCAACGCCGCGUGAGUGAUGACGGCCUUCGGGUUGUAAAGCUCUGUUAAUCGGGACGAAUGGUUCUUGUGCGAAUAGUGCGAGGAUUUGACGGUACCGGAAGAGAAAGCCACGGCUAACUACGUG
This 510-nucleotide ribosomal RNA is filed under the name uncultured bacterium. RNAcentral's name for it is "partial 16S ribosomal RNA". It matches the Rfam family "Bacterial small subunit ribosomal RNA", at positions 28 to 507 of the family's 1533-position model. The record is from RNAcentral.